This is a long non-coding RNA of Panthera uncia (snow leopard), 9581 nucleotides long. RefSeq lists it as uncharacterized. The transcript has 2 exons. Lineage: Eukaryota; Metazoa; Chordata; Mammalia; Carnivora; Felidae. The record is from RefSeq and is a predicted model, not a curated record.
UAAGUCAUUUACCACUUGUUUGUCUACCUUCCAGAGCAUCAAAUGUUGCUCCCUCACUUGUUCACUUUGUCCUCAUGAAUUUAUGACUUUUCUCCCCAUUUGUCUCAGUUUGUUCGGGCCGCUAUAACAAAAGCAACCACCAUAGACUGUGUGGUUUAUAAACACCAAACAUUUAUUUCUCACAAGAUCUAGAGGCUGGGAAAUCACAGAUCAGGGUGCCAGUAGAUUUGGUAUCUGGUGAGGGUCUGAUCCUGGUUCACAGAUGGCUGACUUCUCAUUGUAACCCCACGAAGUUGAGGGGUGAGGGAGCUCUCUAGGGUGUCUUUUAUAAGGACACUAAUCCCAUUCUUGAGGGCUCCACCCUCAUGACCUAAUUAUCUCUAAAAGCUCUACCUUGUAACACCAUCACAUUGGGAGUUAGGUUUCAACAUGUGAAUAUUUGAGGGCACAAACAUUCAUUCAAUCUAUAGCAUCAUACCUGUAUUUUAUUUUAUUUUAGCUUUUUUAAUGUUUAUUUUAGAGAGAGAGAAAGCAAGCAAGCAAGCCAGCCAACCACUCGGGGAGGGGCAGAGAGAGAGACACACAGAAUCCGAAGCAGGCUUCAGGCUUUGAGCUGUCAGCACGGAGCCUGAUGCAGGGCUCAAACUUGUGAACUGCAAAGUCAUGACCUGAGCUGAAGUCAGAUGCUCAACUGGCUGAGCCACCCAGGAGUCCCUGCCUUUAUUUUAUUUCUUUUAAUGUUUACUUAUUUAUUUUGAAAGAGAGCAAGCAAGCAGGAGAGGGGGCAGAGAGAGGAAGAGAGAGAGAAUCCCAAGCAGGCUUUGCACUGUCAGUGUGGAGCCCAAUGAGGGACUUGAACCCACGAACGGUGAGAUUAUGACCUGAGCAGAAACAAAGAAGUCGGGAAGCUAAAUCGACCAAGCCAUCCACACACCCUGCAUACCUGUAUUUUAGGAGGGACUUUGGGGGAGAGUUGACGCCAGUGCAUGCAAUUUUUCAUUGGAAACUGAAAGGAAACAUUGGAUUUGUCUCUAAAAUUUUCUGUUUUGCCUUUUCAUUUUUAUUAUGAUUUAUAUGAUUGGGAUGUGAUAUAAAAUUUCAACAUGCCAAUUGAAUAAUUGAUCAGGUUGUAAUGAUGUUACAUAUAUAGAUAGCUUUUCUUUGGUGAAAUGGAACUGUUUUACCUGAAGGAUCAAGAACAAAUUAUAAAUCGUUAUCAUUGGCUAUGAGCUUAUAGUUGGCUUUUAUUUCCUUUUUUAUACUUUCAUUUCCUUUUUAUACUUUAAUUCUUGAUCUUUUUCUCUUUAAUUCCUAAAUUUUCUACAAUAAAUAAAUGUAAUUAGGAAAAAAUAACACCUAAGUUGAGAAAAGUUGUUAAUCAAAUCCUUGUAUAAAAAUUGGCUCUAGAUCCCAGUGUUCUUUACCUCCUUUAGGUAAUCUGCAGUUAAUGAACACUAAAUUUGGGGUGUGCGUGUGUUUUGCGGAGUUCAUUCUGAUCUCGCAACUUUUUAUUUUGAGGAAUUGAAAGACUAGCACAAUGAAUACCUAUAUAAUCGCCAUUUUACCACAUUUGUUUUAUUUUUAAGUACCUUUACUGAAGUACAGUUUACACAGCAUAAAUUAUCCCAGUUGAAGUGGAUACUUGAAUGAUUGUUAGUAAGCUUACAGAAUUGAGGAACCAUCACUAGAAUCCAGUUGUAUAAUAUUUCAUCAUACAGUAAAAUUUCUUCUGCCUGUUUACUGUUAAUCCCCAUUACCAUGCCCCAAUAUCAGGCAACCACUGAUCUUUUUUCUGUCUUUAAACAGUUGUCUUUUCUCCACCUUUAAUAUCAGUAGAAUCAUCUAAUAGGUGGUGUUUUGUAUCUGGCUUUUUUUACUUAGCAUAUUGUUUGUGAAGCAUUCAUGUUUUUUAAUUUUUAUAUAUUUUUAAGAAUAUUUAUUUUGAGAGAGUGAGCAUGCAAGAGCAGGGGAGGGGCAGAGAGAGAGAGAGAGAGAGAGAGAGAGAGAGAAUCCCAAGCAGGCUCUGCACUGCCAUCACAGAGCCUCACGCAGGGCUUGAACUCACAACUGUGAGAUCAUGACCUGAGCCGAAAUCAAGAGAUGGUGGCUUAAACUGAGCCACCCAGGUGCCCCAUAUGUUUUAAUUUCUUUUGAGUAGAUACUUAGAAAUGAAUUCCUUUUAUUUUUUUAAAUUUUUUGUUUUUAAUGUUUAUUUUUGAAAGAGAAAAGAGAGAGAGACAGCGUGACGGGAGGAGCAGAGAGAGAGGGAGACACAGAACUUGAAGCAGACUCCAGGCACCAAGCUGUCAGCAUAAAAUCUGACAUGGGGCUCGAACUCAGAAACUGUGAGAUCAUGACCUGAGCUGACUGAGCCACCCAGGCACCCCAACUUUUUUUUUUUUUUUAAAGGUUUAUUUAUUUUCGGAGAGAGAGAGGGAGAGAGAGAGAGCACACGCAGGGGAGCGGCAGAGGGAGACAGGGAAAGAAUCCUAUGCAGGUUCCAUGCUGCCAGUGCAGAGUCCUGUGGCUUGAACUCAAUAACAGUGAGAUCAUGACAUGAGACAGAAUCAAGAGUCAGAUGCUUAACUGACUGAGCCCACCCAGUCCUUGGAUUGCUAUUUUGUAUUUAACUUUUUUACGAGUAACUACCAUUUUAUAUUUAAUUCUUUUCCAAAGCAACUACCACUUACAUUCCCACCAGCAAUAUAUAAGAAUACUCUGUCUAGAUUUAUAUGUUUUUUGUUUAACCAUUUGAGAUAAAUUGCAGAGAGGUUGGCAUUUCAGCCCUUAGCCCUUCAGUAAAGAUCUUCUAAGAACAGUGGUCUCAUCCUGUAUUACUGUAAUAUUAUUGUCACUCUCUAGGAAUUUAGCAUGGAAACAUUAGUAUUAUCCAAUAUACAUUCCGUAUUUAGAUUUUCCUAUUUGUUCACAAAAUGUUUUUUAUAACUUUUUUUUAAAUCCAGGAUCUUCUCAUACAUCUCAUGCUAUAUUUGGUUGUCAUGUCUCUUUACUUGCCUUCAAUCUAGAGCAAGUUUCACUCACCUUUGUCAUUUGGAUGUUUUAUGACAUUGACAUUUUUUGAGUCCAGCCCAUUUGUCCACUAGUAUGUCCUAUAUUGUUGAUUAGUCUGAUUGUUUCCUCACAGGUUCAGGUUAAACAUUUUUUUGUUAGAGAGAAUACAUGGAUGAUCCUAUGUCUUCUCUUGCAUCACAUCAGGAGGUAAAUGUUGUAGUUUGUCCCAUUAUUAUGCUAAAUUUGAAUAUUUGCUUAAGAUAGCAUCUACCUCUUUUUUUCCUUUGUAAUUAGUAAGUAAUCUGUGAAAGACUGAGUGUAUCCUUUUCCCCAGCAGUCUUUCUCCCAACUGUAUUAGUAUCCAUUGAUGAUCCUUGCCCUGAGUCAUUUAUUGCUUGAGUGGGUUGCAAAAAGGUAAUUUUCUAAUUUUGUUGUUCCUUCUUCAUUUAUUGGCAAGUCUUUUGUAAAGUUACUGUUGAUAUUUAAGUGGAACUUACCAAUUCGAUCAUGAAGGAUUUUAUGGGGAAUGAAGAUUUUUGGUUGGUUAUUUAUUUGUUUAGUUUUAGAGAGAGAGCAUGCAUGAGUGGCGGAGAGGAGCAAAAGGGGAGAGAGAGAGAGAGAGAGAGAGAGAUUGAGAGACAGAGAGAGAGAAUGAGAAUCUGAAGUAGGCUCCAUGCUUGGCUUGGAGCCUAAUGCGGGGCUUACUCCCACAACCUUGGGAUCAUGACCUGAACUGAAAUCAAGAGUUCUAUGCUCAGGGUGCAUGAGUAGCUCAGUUGGUUAAGCGUCUGACUUCGGCCCAUGAUCUCUCAGUUUGUGAGUUGAGUUUGACCUCGUGUUGGGCUCUGUGCUGACUGAGCCUGGAGCCUGCUUCAGAUUCUGUCUCCCUCUUUAUCUGUCCCUCCCACUCAUGCUCGCUCUGUCUCUCUCUCUCUCUCUCGCUCUCUUUCAAAAAUGAAUAAAUGUUGAAAAAUAAAAAAAAGUUGAAUGCUCAACCAACUGAGCCACCCAGGCGCCCCUAUGCUUAUUUUUUAGCGUAUCCUAAUAGUGUGGAAGUAAGUGUAUUUAUUUGCCUUACCCUCAGCCACAGAGGAUCCCAAGAAAAGUACUGAAGAGAGAGAUCUCCUUGACUUUUGUGAAGCCUGAAAUAUAUAAGCUCCUUUGCUGUGUUUCCAUUAUUUUGGGAUGUUUGCUGCUCUUCUCUCUUUGAGAGACCACUCUUUUUAAGGAAGAAUUAGCAAAAGCUAUAGAACAUUUUUUUCCUCAAUUUUUAGUUUUUCUUUGUAAACCAAAUUGGAUAGUUUUUUUUUUCUGUUUUCUUUUGGAUGGAUUUGUGAUUUUUUGGUAGUAAUCUAACUGGUGAUGGUGUGGUUGGCAUUGUUCUUUAGGGGAGGUGAAACUGAAAAGAGGCUUUGAAGCAGGCCUCUGUAGCAUGCCAUCAAGAAAUUGCAAAGGUAAGACACUUAGACAGGUAUAGAGCAUUUUAAUCAAAGGUGUAGAGUAUUUCUUUUCAAAGCUCAUGCAUUCUUCUCUGUAUGCGGAAACAUUUGAGAAUGGAGUAUUUGUUUAUAGUUUAGCUUUUAGGCACUUUGUCCUUUUUUAAACACCCCCCCCCCCCCCGAAGUUUCUAGUGUUAGCUCUCUGACUAGGCAGCAGGAUAAGAUGCAUUUGACCAUUGCUGGCUUAUUGUAAGUUUUCUGUUAGGUAAACAUACUUUUGAAAACCAUAAUUAUAGAUUUACCUGAUCAUUUCGUAACUGCUACUUAAAAUUAUGUCCCAAAGAAAGUUUCAUGAACAACAAUAAACCACAGAUGUUUUGUUUAUGAAGAUAGCUUUUUGUCUGAAUCACGUUUUCGGUUCGUCAUUCUGGGACUUUUUGGGUAUCAUACGUUUCAUGUCUCCUCUGGGCCGUUCUAGUUAGUAUUUUAAAAAAUUUCAGUUGGCACUGAACCUAGUGAUUGUUUACUUUUUAGGAAAUAUUCAUGACUGUUAAGUUGGGAGUAAGAAAAAUGGGAGUUAUUUCUAAAUAUGCAUCUUUAAUGGGUAAUUGGGUUCUUAAAAGUGGAGUUAUGAUGAAGGAAAUGACUCAGCACUUUUUAAAUUGUGAUCCUUCUUUAGUCUGCUUCAUAUUCAUAGUUUUUUUUUCCUUUUGUGAUGAAUAUUUUCAAAUAUAUAGCAAAAUAGAAUAUAACAAAUAGACAUUCAUAGUUUUUUGCUGCUGUAGUAAAUUACCACAGUGGUUUUAAAAAAACCACCAAUUUAUUAUUUUAUAAUUAUGGAAUUCAGAAGUCCCAAUGGGUCUUACUGGGCUAAAAUAAAGGUGUUAUCAGGGCUGUGCUCUUGCUAAAAGAAUCCCUUUUAUUGUCUUUUCUUGUUUCCAGGGGCUACGUGCAUUCCUUGGCUUAUGGCCUAAUUUUUCCAUCUUCAAAGUCACUGAGUCCUCCUGUUGCUGUCUCCUUGGUUCUCUCUUCCAGUUCCCUCAGACCACUCUUAAAGAAGUGAUCACAUUGAGUUCCCUGGUAUAAUCCAGGAUAAUUUCCCCAUUUUAGGUCAGCUGAUUAGCAGCCUUAAUUCAUGUACCCUAAUGUUUACAUGUUACGGAGAGUAGGACAUUAUGGGGUUGAUGAAAAUGUUCUAAAACAUGGUGAUGGUUUUACAAUUCAGUGACUUUACUAAAAACUCAUUGUAAACUUGAAAUGGGUGAAUUUUAUGCUAUGUAAACUAUAUUUCAAUAAAGUUUCUUUGGUAAACUUUUAGAUGCUCUUUUUUGCUUUUAGAAGUCCAAAUUUCUUAAUGAAACAUAUUGGUCCCAUCCUGAUUAAAUUUUUUAAAAGUUGUGGUAAAGUACAUAUAACCUGAAAGAUGCCAUAUUAAUCGUUUUCACAUGUACAGUUCAGUUGUGGGAAGCAUGUUGUACAACCAACGUUCAGAACUUUUUCGUCUUGCAAAACUGAAACUCUACCCAUUAAACAGUAACUCUCCAUUUCCCCCUUCCCUCUGCCCCUUUUAGUCAUCCUUCCACUUUCUGUGUCUAUGAAUUUGAUUACUUUCAUAUAGGUGGAACAAUUGUGACAGCUUAUUUCACUUAGUAUAACAUCUUCAAAGUUUAGCUAUGAUUUUCCUUUAUUUUGUUUAAAGUUUUAUUUAAGUAAUCUCUACAUGCAACACGGGGCUAGAACCCACAAUCCCCACAAUCAGGAGUCGCAUGCUCUUCUGACUCAGCCAGUCAGGCACCCCAGAUUUUCCUUUUUUUUUUUUUUUUUUAAAUGUUUAUUUUUGAGAGACAGAAAGACAGAGCGUGAGCAGGGGAGGGGCAGAGAGAGAAGGAGACACAGAAUCUGAAGCAGGCUCCAGGCUCUGAGCUGUCAGCACAGAGCCUGACUACGGGCUCGAACUCCUAACUGUGAGAUCAUGACCUGAGCUGAAGUUGGAUGCUUAACCAGCUGAGCCACCCAGGCGCUCCCAGGUUUUCUUUUUAAAACUGAAUAAUAUUUUAGGGUGCCUGGGUGGCUCAGCUGGCCAAGCAUCUGACUCUUGAUUUCGGCUCAGGUCAUGAUCUCAGGGUUUGUGAGUUCAAGCCCUGCAUCAGGCUCUGUUUUGUCAGAGCAGAGCCUGCUUGGGAUUCUCUUUCUCCCUCUCUCUCUGCCUGCCUCCCCCCUCUCCAUCUCUCUCAAAAUAAAUAAACUUAAAAAACAAACAAAAAAAAAGACUGAAUAAUAUUCCAUUGUAUGUGUAUACCAUUUUAUUCAUCUGCUCACCUGUUGAUGGAGACUUGCUUUCCUCCACUUUUUGGCUGUUACGAAUAAUGCUCUAAACAUUGAUGUGCAGUUAUCUCUUUGAGAUUCUGCUUUCAGUUCUUUGGGGGAUAUACCCCAAAGUGGGAUUCCUGGAUCUGAGUUAAGUUUUAAUUUACCUUUCCAGCUCCUCUUCUGCCUCUUAUAAUAGACUUUGCACCACAUGUACAGACUCUAUCCCUGGAACUCACUAUGUAAUUUUGGAUUAAUCUAGACCUAUUAUGUUGUAGGUAACAGAAUCACUCCAUUUUUAUUUUUUAAUUUUAUUUACUUAUUAAAAUUUUUUUUGAGUUUAUUUUGAGAGAGAGAGAGAGAGAGGAUGCCAGUGUGUGAAUGGGGGAGAGACAGAGAGAAGAGGGAGAGAGAGGAUCCUAAGCAGGCUGUAUGCUAACAGCAUAGUGCCUAACAUGGGGCUCGAUCCCAUCACCCAUGAGAUAAUGACCUGAGCUGAAAUCAAGAGUCAGAUGUUUAACUGACUGAGCUACCCAGGCUCCCCUGUUUAUUUAUUUUUAGAGAGAGAGAGUGCAAGCAGGGGAAAGGGGCAGAGGGAGAGAAAGAGAAUCACAUUCAGUGCAGAGCCUAACGUGGGGCUCAGUCCCACAAACCUGGGAUCAUGACCUGAGCCCAAAUCAGGAGUUGGGCGCUCAACCAACUGAGCCACCCAGGCACUCCCAAACUCACUUCAAACUGGAUAAUGCUAAAGGUGUGUAUGUUGGAGUCGGGGGAGGUACCUUAAAGAUGUUGCUAUGUUACACAGAACCCAAAGACCUGAAUAUGUUUGGGCUUCAGGAAAAACUGGACUUUAAAAUAACUCAGGUUUCUGGCACUUGGGUGGCUCAGUUGGUCAAGCAUCUGACUUCGGCUCAGGUCAUGAUCUCAUGGUUGGUGAGUUUGAGCCCUCCCAUUGCGCUCUCAGCUGUCAGGGCAGAGCCUGCUUGGGAUCCUCUGUCUCCCUCUCUCUCUGUCCCUCCCCUGCUCAUGUGCACAUUCUCUUCCCCUCUCUCUUUCAAAAAUAAGUAAAUAUUAACAAUUUUUUUAAUAUUUCUGGUUUCUUUGUAUGUUCUAUGUAGGUGUUUGCAGUGGUCUUCUAUCUCUGCUGAAUGGAACUGUGACUGUCCAAAGCUCCCAAAUAUGUAGUUUAUAGUUCAUAUACUAUGGGAAAAACUUUCACUUCUAAAUUCUGGGGUGCCCCCACCGUCACUUAACUGUGGAAUGACCUCGCUGUGUCCUGAGGAAUCCUAUGUGGAAAUGAGAGCAUUGUCUCAACAAGUAACAACUACAAAUGCUGUCAUAUCUCUCCCCAAUGGGAUAUGAUUCUAGCCAGGUCCAGCUAUCAUACUUUGACUUAUUGUUAAAGGUGCCCCAUCCCACCAGCUGAAGGCCUCAGGAUGAUAGCCGUGCUUUCCUUGUUUUGUUCUUGAUUGGUCCAGAUAAACAUUUGCAUGAUCCUGCAGCCUGUAGGCUAAAUGAUAGUUUUUUUCUUUUAUUGUUAUCCUUCCUCUACCCUCUCUAAUAUAAUCCCAUCAUGAGAGGAAAAGCAGAUAAAAAGGAGAAAGGAAAAAUACUAUAUUUUGGUUACAGUUUAUUCCAUUUAUUAGGCACCUUCUAUGUGCCGGGCACUAUUCUCAGCUGGGGGUUAUAAGCAGAAAGAAUACAGAGCAUGUGCUAUCUUCUACAGGACAGGAGCAGUAAAAUACAAUCAACAAGUCUCAUGGUCACCUGUUAACUCAUUUCACUGUUAGAAGAUUGAAGGCUUUAGCCUGGCUUGCCCCCAAAAGAUUUACCAUGUCUGAUAUUACUCAGGACCAUCCUUGAGAGGAGCACAGGGGACAGGAUGGGAGAUAGUUCUUUUUAUGAGGGCUGUGCUGCUUUAGCUUUCUCCUUCCAAUAAGAUGCCACUUUUUGGACCUAGGGUUUGACUAGGGGUGUAAUAAUUACAGCCUCCUAGAGUGCCUGGGUGGCUCAGUUGGUUGAGCAUCCAACUCUUGGUUUUGGCUCAGGUCAUGAUUUCAUGGUUUGUGAGUUUGAGCCCCACGUAGGGCUCUGCACUGCCUGUGUGGAGCCUGCUUGGGAUUCCCUCUCUCUCCCUCUGCUGCAUGCUCUUUCUCUCAAAAAUAACUCACACUUAAAGAAUUACAGCCUCCUGAUGAUGGCACUCUUUUCAAACUUCAGUUCACUGCUUAUCCAUUGCAUGUUGGUGCAUUCCCUUUGAAACCCAACCCCAGUAAUAUUUAGGCUUUUUAGUCUCUAAGAUUGCUGAAGAGAAUACCUGGGACCAGGUUAAUUCUCCUUAGUUUUGCUUAUCUUCCUGGCUUAAAGGUCUCUACCUCAGGGCAGGUGGAAAAUUCUGGAUUUAGAGCUUUCUCAAACCUCUGUGGAAUGUUAUCUCCAUAAAUUUACUCCCUCCCCAGCCUUAUUUCUGUCAGAUACACUUUAUAAUGAGGGGAGGGAAUGGCAGUUUGGGGGAACCCUAUGCAAAGGUUUCGAAAGGGAUUAUCUACAUCCUAUUCAUCAGGGUCUCCCUGUUUCUUAGUGGCACAAAGAAUUCACUUGGUGAAUUUCAGCAGAGUAAUUAUCUGAUCAAUAGAGGUUUCGGAUCCAUGGCUUUAGGGCAGAAAGGCCUUUGCUUAAUCAUUAUAUUCUUAUUUGUCAUAUCUCCCCUCUAGGAGACUGGAUUGGACAGGAUGGUGUUUUGCAGAUUGGAUUGUUUUGUAGAACCUUACUGAAGUUAGCAUAGUCUUCUGUGGGCAAUUUCUUUUUGUCGCCCAAAGCUCC